Molecule: transfer RNA, 74 nt
Filed under: Anguilla anguilla (European eel)
Lineage: Eukaryota; Metazoa; Chordata; Actinopteri; Anguilliformes; Anguillidae
Description: tRNA-OTHER
Source: RNAcentral
GGCACAGUAGUGCAGUGGGUAGCAUUAUUGCCUCACAGCAAGAGGGUUUAGGUUCGAAUCCGUGGCCUGGGCCU